Ornithorhynchus anatinus (platypus) is the source of this 1141-nucleotide long non-coding RNA. RefSeq lists it as uncharacterized. Lineage: Eukaryota; Metazoa; Chordata; Mammalia; Monotremata; Ornithorhynchidae. The record is from RefSeq and is a predicted model, not a curated record. The transcript is spliced from 3 exons.
UCCCCCAGACCUGAGCCAUGGGCUCGAAGAUGUCCACUCACAGUCAAGGGCACACAUGCCCAUGAACAGGGACCUGGGGUUCCUCGAGCUUCAACCAACGGUCAUUGCAGUGAAUUUCGCUCUCUGCGAGGGCCGGAGCAUCUCCAUACACAUAAUUGGUCUCGUCUGGUGAGGCGAGGGCUUCCGUCAAUCCACUUCACCUGGGAAGACUGGAAGACUGGCAUGACUUCAACAGGGAUUGACGGCGCUCGGAGCCUGCCAGGCUGAUUAGGCAAGCCCCAAGCUGCAACCGAUCUGACUAUUCCUAAUGACACUACAGUCUGCGGCCUUCAAUUUGUUUGAGACCGAAAGCUUCCCAUGCCAGAGAGGAGGAGAGGCACCCUGGGGGGACCUCACUUUCUGUCAUCUUUCCCUAGGGCCGGACUUGAAUCCUGUCUCCUUGCCUUCCUAACGGGCUUCUUCUCCGUAACCGUCACUCUAACGGUCAUUACUUUUCCACAUGGACAAGAGGCAGGAUGUGCAGUUGUCUCGGGGAGGGGGCAACUUGAUGUUUUAUUGCAAAAAUAAAUAAAAUGAUUCUAUGAUGUUUGCUAACUGGGCUAUUAAAGAGGCUACUAAACGAGUCUUCGUCAGUGCCCAAGAAAAGCGUUUUUUUCAAUUGUUACGAUCUUUGCUAUCUUUCAACGCUUUUCACCUCACAACCACUCUGCCUGACUGAGCUUUGCGGUCACAGAGCAGCACUGCAAGCGAUGUUGCUAGGCAGCUCCUGGAGCACUGGCAAUCAAUCGCUUAAAAAAAAAAGGGGUUGAUAAUUUAACUGUGUUAUUUUGAAGACGGACACAAAUUCAUUAAGAUAAGAAGAUCUUCCCCAUGUCGUUUGACCUAAAUCUGGAUUCGAACAUCCGGCCUUCCUUCGUUGCAAGCCUCGCAUUGGCUGUCCCAGGGGCGAGGUGAGCUGACUUUCAAGAAAGCAGCAGGGAAGGCUCCCCUGAAGAAAAGAUAAAACCUAGGAAACAGGAGACCUAGGAGCGGAGGGGGAAUUUGGUGAACCUAGGCCUGAUAAUGCUAUAUUCAAAGGCCGGGUCCUGCUGAACACUGACAUGCUGUGCAUGCAGAAGAGAUCACUUGACUCCCCAUCUGG